GAUGAACGCUGGCGGCGUGCCUAAUACAUGCAAGUCGAGCGAACAGACGAGGAGCUUGCUCCUCUGACGUUAGCGGCGGACGGGUGAGUAACACGUGGAUAACCUACCUAUAAGACUGGGAUAACUUCGGGAAACCGGAGCUAAUACCGGAUAAUAUAUUGAACCGCAUGGUUCAAUAGUGAAAGACGGUUUUGCUGUCACUUAUAGAUGGAUCCGCGCCGCAUUAGCUAGUUGGUAAGGUAACGGCUUACCAAGGCAACGAUGCGUAGCCGACCUGAGAGGGUGAUCGGCCACACUGGAACUGAGACACGGUCCAGACUCCUACGGGAGGCAGCAGUAGGGAAGCUUCCGCAAUGGGCGAAAGCCUGACGGAGCAACGCCGCGUGAGUGAUGAAGGUCUUCGGAUCGUAAAACUCUGUUAUUAGGGAAGAACAAAUGUGUAAGUAACUAUGCACGUCUUGACGGUACCUAAGCAGAAAGUCACGGCAAACUACGU
Molecule: ribosomal RNA, 496 nt
Filed under: uncultured bacterium
Lineage: Bacteria
Description: partial 16S ribosomal RNA
Rfam family: Bacterial small subunit ribosomal RNA
Source: RNAcentral